This 253-nucleotide ribosomal RNA is filed under the name uncultured bacterium. RNAcentral describes it as "partial 16S ribosomal RNA". It matches the Rfam family "Bacterial small subunit ribosomal RNA", at positions 524 to 776 of the family's 1533-position model. The record is from RNAcentral.
UACGUAGGUGGCAAGCGUUGUCCGGAUUUACUGGGCGUAAAGAGCGCGUAGGCGGUCGUUCAAGUCGCGUGUGAAAGCCCCCGGCUCAACUGGGGAGGGUCACGCGAUACUGAUCGACUCGAAGGCAGGAGAGGGAAGUGGAGUUCCCGGUGUAGUGGUGAAAUGCGUAGAUAUCGAGAGGAACACCAGUGGCGAAGGCGACUUCCUGGCCUGUUCUUGACGCUGAGGCGCGAAAGCUAGGGGAGCAAACGGG